This 253-nucleotide ribosomal RNA is filed under the name uncultured prokaryote. RNAcentral's name for it is "partial 16S ribosomal RNA". It matches the Rfam family "Bacterial small subunit ribosomal RNA", at positions 524 to 776 of the family's 1533-position model. The record is from RNAcentral.
UACAGAGGCCUCAAGCGUUAUCCGGAAUUAUUGGGCGUAAAGGGUGUGUAGGUGGUUAUGUUAGUCUCUUGUUAAAUUCUUCGGCUUAACCGGGGGCAUGCGAGGGAAACGGCAUGACUAGAGUAUGCAAGGGGUCUGUAGAACUCAUGGAGUAGGGGUGAAAUCCGUUGAUAUCAUGGGGAAUACCAAAAGCGAAGGCAGCAGACUGGUGCAUUACUGACACUGAAACACGAAAGCGUGGGUAGCGAAUGGG